GAUCCUGGCUCAGGACGAACGCUGGCGGCGUGGAUUAAGCAUGCAAGUCGAGCGAUAUCUAACCUUCGGGUUAGUGAAAGCGGCGAACGGGUGAGUAACACGUGAACAACCUGCCCUCACAUUCCGGAUAAUAGACCGAAAGGUCUUGUAAUACGGGCGAGGAUUUUCUUUAGGCAUCUUUAGAAAAGGGAAGGCGCAAGCCGUGCGAGGAGGGGUUCGCGGAUUAUCAGAUAGUUGGUGGGGUAACGGCCUACCAAGUCUACGACGAUUAGCUGGUCUGAGAGGAUGGUCAGCCACACUGGGACUGAGACACUGCCCAGACUCCUACGGGAGGCUGCAGUCGAGAAUCUUGCACAAUGUACGAAAGUAUGAUGCAGCGACGCCGCGUGAAGGAUGAAUGGCCCUUGGGUCGUAAACUUCUUUUAUCGGGGAAGAAUAAAUGACGGUACCCGAUGAAUAAGCCGCGGCUAACUACGUGCCAGCAGCCGCGGUAAUACGUAGGUGGCGAGCGUUGUCCGGAUCUACUGGGCGUAAAGAGUAUGUACGCGGACAUCGAAGUAGACAGUGAGAGGUUGGAGCUCAACUCCACACUGCUUCUAUACUGGAUGUCUGAGUGCUGAGAGAAGCGAGCGACGCCUGACCGUGAAUGCGUGAUUGUGUCGACUCAUUGCGAGGCGCUAUGACGAGCGCAGGCUAAACUAGUGAAUCAAGCGAGGACACGGAUGAUACUGUAGUAGGCAAUCGGCCCUGCGCGUAUAUGAUCANUCGUC
RNAcentral lists this ribosomal RNA (770 nucleotides) under uncultured bacterium. Its description in RNAcentral is "bacterial SSU rRNA". It matches the Rfam family "Bacterial small subunit ribosomal RNA", at positions 15 to 838 of the family's 1533-position model. The record is from RNAcentral.